This 789-nucleotide long non-coding RNA is filed under the name Pan troglodytes (chimpanzee). RNAcentral describes it as "long non-coding RNA NONPTRT014795". Lineage: Eukaryota; Metazoa; Chordata; Mammalia; Primates; Hominidae. The record is from RNAcentral.
CUUUGAAGCCCGUGGAACCACAAACUCUUCAAUUGAGAAAAACCUUCGAUUGGAAGAGACUUCUCAUCUCAUUUCUGGGGGCCUGUCUGGGAUUUCUCUGAAGUGAAUAGAAUCCAUGAAACUGCAAAUGGUUCUACAAAUGGAGCCCCAAAUGACCACCACUAGCACCUACUAUCGAGGACCCCUAGACUGACCUACCAACCUGUUCUAACACCACGACACUGAAGACUCCCCUCCUGAGGAACCCUCAACUGCAGAUCCCCUUCUAUGCCCCAGUUCAGCAGGAAGUAGCUAGAAUGAUCAUUGCCCAACUUCUCAACAGCACUUGGGCUUUCCUGUUGAGAGUGGGUACUGAGGCACUAAGUGGCUAAGUUGGCUAGACUUCCUGGGUCAACAGGGACUUCCCUAAGGGGACAUUCCCCUAAGCCAAAAUGAGUCAUAGCUGCAAGCUAAGGGAUUGAAACUUCAACCAAUCAAAGGGGACUUUCUCCUAAGCAAAAAUGAGUCACCGCUGCAAACUAAGUGAUUGAAACUUCACCCAAUCAUAUAGGGAGUUUAAGCUUUAGCUGCAGCCUGAUGUUUUUAACCAAUCAGGCCUGCCAACCCACAAGCGGAUAGAAAAUAAGCUAAUCCUAUGGGACAGAAAAAGGAAAAGGGGAGGAGUCAUAAGGGGAUAUAAGCAUAAGACACCCAAGCCAGAAACGGAAAUCCUUCCGGGUCUCCUUCCACCACGUGGAAGCUUUACUUUUGCUUUUACUUUACUUUCACUUUAAUAAACCUUGGUGCCGC